CGUUGGAAUGUUAUGACGUUUGUCACCCCAAACGGUGGACUGCAGCUAACAGUCAGGGCGCGGGUUGUCAAGCCCGUAUAGAUCUAUACACAAACACCAUGCUCCCCCUCCAAGGGAUUCUGGUAUAUAAUACAGGACUUGAAAUGUGUACUCGAACGUACAUGAAGUUAGUGUCUCACAAAACCGUGGUAUAAAAACAGAUCUACUUGUUAAAAUGUUACGUUUGUUCUUGUAUACGAAAGUAAACUUCUUGAAAUUCAUGGUUCUAGUACAUAAGAGUUAGAAAUUUGUUCGUAAAACUAUACCUAUUAUAGUUUUCUAAAAGUGUGUCUUGUUUGUUUAGAAAUACCUAGAAAAGGAAUCACUUGUUUAUGAAAGCAUAGAUUUUUGGUGUAGAGUCUAAGAUAGACAAGAAUAAUCUAAGAAAAGUUUAGUUUAUACAUGCAUUACAACAAAUUUAUAUUUCAAAAGAUAGAAUGCUAUUUUAACAUAUGUUAUAUAUAUGAAAGUUCCUUAAAAUUUUGUAAAUCGCAUGUGAUUUGGAUAUAUAACAGCAUAUAAAAGAGUUCUUUAUGUAACACACGAUAAUACUCGUGUGUUUUACUUGUAAUCCCCCCCUUGAAAGCAUAUAAAAGAAUUUAUAGAAUAUUUAAAAGGUAAAUUAAGGGGUAUGAACUCACUUGAAAGUUUGAAGAUAGCGAGAUGGAAAACCGGGCAGAGUUUCGUCUCGGGAAACGGAUUUUCCUCGGGAUUCUCGGGAAUCUCGGGAGUAAAAUCGACCCUCGGGACUUGAGCAAAAAGACCAGAGCUUCGGGUUUGAACGGGCACGGAAAACGAGGCAAGAUUGUGAGAGAGAGGAGAGAAAUGAGCCCUUUUCUCGGAAGCCCUCGCAUCCUAUUUAUAGGAAGGCUGAACUGCCUCGGUACGCGGGGCGUACGCUCGUACGCAGCGCGUACGCGUACGUCAUGCAUGACCGAAGCCUCGACUGCCUCGGCUUCGGAUGGGACGGGUUGCUGGGGAGGCGGGUCGGAUGGGACGGCGGGUCGGACGGGACAGCGGGUCGGACGGGUCGGACGCUUCGGACGGGUCGGACGCCUCGGAUAGGGCGACGUGGACGAUCAGAGGCCAAGUCUCUCGGGUACGUAGGGCGUACAGGGGUACGCAACGCGUACCUCGGAUGAGGACGCUGACUCCUCUUCGGAUAAGGUCCGAAUUUUGAAUUAAAUAAAUAUAUAAUUUAUUUAAUAAACUUCAAAAAUUUAUAUCUUCUUCAUACGAAAUCCGUUUUCGAUGGUCUUUAUAUCCACGCGUAGGUGAGACUACGCUCUACAACUUUCGUUUAGACUCCGUUGGCAAAUUCCGAAAUUAUUUUUUUAUUAUUUAUAUUAAACUCAUCGUGUUUAAGGAAUUACUUUGAAAAUUCAUAACUUCUUUAUCUGAUGUCGGUUUUUGCCAGAUUUUUUACCGCUGAAAUACCAUUGUCGAGACCUUCGAUUCUCGUUUAGGUCAUUCCGGCCUAAAGUCGCUCGAUCUCCGAUUCGAGUUUUUAGUUGUUUGUUGCUAAGCUGAACUUGGAAAAAUCAUAACUUCGAUAUAUGAAGUCGGAUUUGGGCGUUCUUUUUACGUACGAUCAUGGUUUAAAGACAUUUAAACAUACAAGGAAUUUAAAUAGAACUAUUUGUUCAUUUUAUUAUGAAAGUAAAUUUUAUUUACUCAAAAGUGGUUACAAUACUUGACCCAUUUAGGUCAUUACAAGGAGUUGAAAUAUCGGGUUGUCACAAUAUCUAACAAUUUUCACAGUUUCUAUUAGGGGUGUAAGAUAGAGAAAAAUAUUUUUAGAAUUGUUCAUAAUGAAUUCCUAAUUUUCGCCAAUUUUUAUAUUUAUAAUGGACUAAAAACAAGAAAAAUAGUUUUCUCAUCCAAAAUUCAAUAAAAUGUACCAGAAGACCUUAAUAUAUAUUAGAAAUCUAAAUAAAAAAUUUGAUGAUUUUUUCUAUUCAGUAUACUGUUUUUCUCUUAUUUUCUAAGAUUAAAUACACUUAAAUCCACGAUAUUGGAUUCUAGUAGAUAAAGCACCUUUGGGAUUUUUUCCAGAUUGUUUACAUUGUAAGUAAAGUUUAUAAAAGCUUUGGUAAUUUACUUUAACUCUUUAAUAAUUAUUCUCUAAUUAAUGAUUAUUUAAGAGGAUAAAACAAAGAAAAAUAGAAAGACUAAUUCAAAAGUAUAAUUUCUACUUUUCACAGCUUCUACAUGUAUAAUAACAGUGUUACAAAAAGUUUGGGCAAUUUUGGAAAUAGUUUUGUAUUUAUUUCAAUUUAUAUUAGAAUAAAUGAACACAAAUCAUAAAAUCGAGUUAAACAGUUUAAAAAUCGAUUUUUAUAUUUUUCACAGCUUAAGAAUAUUUAAUAACAGUAAUGCAAAAAGUUUGGGAAAUUAUGCAAACUAUUUUCUAAUUAUUUAAAUUUUUUAUAAGAAUAAUUGCACAAAAAUCAUAAAAUUGGGAUAACCAAUUUAGAAAUCCAUUUUUAUAUUUUUCUCAGUUUAAGUAUGUCCAAUGACAGUAUCAUAAAAGGUUUGGGAAUUUUUAGCAUUUGGAUUCUAUUUUUCACAAAUUUAUAUUGUUAUGAAGACUUAAAAUUUUGGAAAAAUAGUUAAUCAUAUCAAAAAUUCAAAGGAAAAUUUAUGGAAGACCUCUACUGUAUUUAGAAUGAAAAUUCAAAGUUUGACAAUUUUUGGAAACUGUUUGAUAAUAUUUUGGCCUUUUAAGAUCUUAAAACACAUUUAAAUGUGUUGAAAUACCUUCAAUUAAUAUUACAAAAAUCUGGAAAUCAAUAUCCAAAAUUGUCUUAAUCACAUGAGUUAAAAAAACUUCACCACCAUCAUCAUCAAAACCGUGAGUAGGUGCAAGUGUUCAUGAUUUUACAAUAGAAUGGAGUAGAAGAAAAAGAAAGUGUAAGAAAAUAACAAAACCUUGAAGGAAAAGUGAAGUCGAAAUCGAUUUUACCUUCAAGAACACUACAAUAUGAUGAAGAUUUCGAGUUUGAGGAGUGUUAUUGGGUUUGUAUUCUGGAAAUUUUUGUGGUUCCUAGAGAGAGGAUGAGAGAAUAGAGUGAAAAUAAAAUGAGGAAGUGUGAAAGAGAAAGUGAUGUAUGGAAAAAUGGAGUAUGGAGGGGAAUUGAUUGAGUGUUUUGGGAAGAGGAGAGAGAGAAAAAGAGAGAGAGAGAGAGAGAGAGAGAGGAAUCCGAAUUUUGAAUGGAGAGAGGGUCUCCCUCUUUUAAAUUUUUUAAAAUAUAAAUUUAUUUUAUAAAAAUAUCAAGUUUUUAUAAAAUAUACACCUUAUCCUAAUUAUCCUUCACAAAACUUUGAUUUUUGGCUUAGAAAAUUAGGUUAAAUAAUAAUGACUUAAAUUUUAUUUCUCCUUGGUUGUAUUCUACUAAAUUGAGUUAUUUUAAAUUGAUAUUAUAUAGUCCAUACCAAAUUUUAUGGAUUCUUAGGUGUUAAAGUUUAUAAAUUUGAGUUUUUAGGGUUUUUAGGGUCAUGAGAUUUCAUAAAUAUUUGGAUAUCAAAAUAAAUUGAAUUAUUUGAGAUUCCACAAAUUUACCAAGGAUUUAUAGACCUCAGAAAACAUUUUAUAUGAUUUAUUGCCCUAUUUUGUUGAUGGGAAUCUGGGAAAAAUCGGAUUUGGUCAAAAAAAGGAGUUUUAGAUAUUUAUUUGGAAAUAAAUCAUUCAUGAACAUAUUUGAAAGCUUUUAACAACAUACUUUGAUGAUCUCACAUCUAAGCUUGAAGAUCAUCACAUUCAUGUUUGUUUGAAGACCAUUCAUGAGUUUGAAAUGUUCAAAAUUCGUUUUUUAAAGAAAACUUUGGAUGGAUGUGGUGAUUUUCCACCAAAACAUGUAGAAAAGUGCAUUUCCUUGAUUUUGACUUAGGUUUAGGUCAUGAGACUUCACCGUUGACAACAUGCAUGUUGUUUUUGGAUGAAAUCCUACCACCAUCAUCAUCAAAACCAUGAGUAGGUGCAAGUGUUCAUGAUUUUACAAUAGAAUGGAGUAGAAGAAAAAGAAAGUGUAAGAAAAUAACAAAGCCUUGAAGGAAAAGUGAAGUCGAAAUCGAUUUUACCUUCAAGAACACUAAAAUACGAUGAGGAUUUCGAGUUUGAGGAGUGUUGUUGGGUUUGUAUUCUAGAAAUUUUCUUGGUUCCUAGAGAGAGGAAGAGAGAAUAGAGAGAAAAUAAAGUGAGGGAGUGUAAGAGAGAAAGUGAUGUAUGGAGAAAUAGAGUGUGGAGGGGAAUUGAUUGAGUGUUUUGCGAUGAGGUGAGAGAGGAGAGAGAGAGAGAGAGAGAGAGAGAGAGAGAGAGAGAAAGAGAGAGAGAGAGAGAGGAAUCUGACUUUGGAAUGGAGAGAGGGUCUCCCUCUUUUAAAUUUUUUAAAAUAUCACUUUAUUUUAUAAAAAUAUCAAGUUUCAAAACUCUUUUCUUGUUAAAAACAAUAAUGUGUAUAAUUAUUCACAACCAGGAAUUUUGAUGUUUUGUAACAAAAACAAUUGUACCAACUGUAAACCUACAAUGUGAAAGCAUGCAUGAUGCUUAUUCAAUAACAACAAAACUACAAUGAAACACUUUAUGCAAGCACUUCAAAUAGUCAACAAAGAAUUGGAAACCCUAGAAAUCCCGGUUUAAGUCCAUCAUGAACUAGGAAUUUCCUUAUUGGGCCUAAUGGGCCAAUAAGCUUCCAAUUUGACUAUUUCGGGCUUAGAACUCUUAGAUGGGCUCUAAUUGGACCCACGUCCAUUUAUUUUAACAUUUUGGGCCAUAAUGGGCCUAGAAUGAAAUAAAAUACCCUAAUUGGAACCAUAUACAUGAAACUUAAUAUUUUGGGCCUUAUAAGCCUAAAAUGAAAUAGUUUAUCUUUAAUGGGCCUUAUUUGGGGCAUAAAAAGUCUAACUAGCCCUAAUGGAUCAUAAAAAUCAUCCCUUGAUUUAUUUUGGGCCAAAAAUCACCUAAUUGGGCCAUAAGAUGGACUUAAGAACAAAAACCCCAAAUUUUCUUUUCUCCUUCUCCUCUUCUCGGCCCAACUACUCAAAAUGGAGGAGAGUUGACUUCCACUUGCCACCUCACAUUUACCCAUUGGAAACCCAUGCAAAAUCUCAUGUUUUCAUGCAUGUGAACUCCAAUGUCUCUCUCUUCUCCUCUCUCUCUAUUUCUCUCGGACGAAGAGACACACCUACACACACAUUUCAUCCAAAUUUAGAAACAAACUCUCUCAAGAAUAUCCUCACUCUUCUUCAACAAAUUCACGAGAUUUAGGAGCUUUUCAAGGAGAUUAUUUAACAAAAAUCAUCAUCUAAGGUAAGUUUAUGUUUAAAUCUAUGAUCUAACUACUUCAUUUCACCCAAAAACCUCCUCGUAAUCUAUUCAAACUCAUGAUCUUACAUCUUAGAACACAUCUAUGACAAAAAUCCACCAAGAAGCUUGCUAGGCCAAGAAAUAGCAUCAAACUUCUUCUAUUCUUCAUCAAAACCGAAACCACAAACUCAAGGUGAGCUUCAUACCUCUUUUUUCGGUUUUUAUAUGUUUUAUGGGGGAGAAUACAAGAAAAUGUGUAGAUCUAUGUGUAUGUGUAUGCUAUGUAUGAUUUUAUGCAUGUAUGUGUGAUUUUAUGUGUUUUUGUGAUGAAUAUGUAACCAAAAGGGAAGUAAUCCCGAGAUCUAUAUCAUAAGUAGGAAAACAAACAUGAUCUAAGUUAUAUUAUUCUAAACAAGUCAAGAACAUUAACUUAUAAGAUAUUGAUAAAGAUAUUUCAACACGAAACCCAUUUUUGGGCUUAAAUCGUCAAAUAAACAAAAGAAUGGGUAAAAAAUUGUCAUUUACGGUUUUCUUAAGGGCCAAAGGUGUCAAAACAGUGACAUCAAAUGUUUUUAUGAAUAUUAUGCACUUCAUAUGUCACACCCCAAACCUGAACGGCGGAAACGUUCGGGGGCGGAUGACUUCAUGUGGUAACGUAACAAUUGAAUACAUAGUAAAGAAAGCAAUACAACCAUCAUAUAUAUAAUUGAAAGUUUACAUUUGUCAAAAGUUACAUGUUCAAAACCCAUUACAAUAUGAUGUAAAAAAUACGAGAUUAAACUGGCGCCGCAGCAUCCCUUCAUCAAAAGCGUAAUGAAUACCUGAAAUUACUGAUUUCCUGGGACAUACAAGUAAUUUUGAAAGAGUAUAUCAGCAUUUAAGCUGGUGAGUUUCAUAAGUAUUUAAGUGACAAUGUUUGUAUGAAAUGAAAUGUUUUGUCUUUGUUUGUUUGUAUUUAGAAAAUCCUAUAUUUUCUACUAGUAUAAAAGUAGCCUUCUCUCAAGACCAAUGUUUGUUUCCAAAAUGUAUGUAAGUGUAAAAUAACCAAUGUGUUUUGAAAACCUUGUAAAUCAAUGCAUUUUUAAUACCCCAUGUGAGUUUUAUAACCAUACUAUUGACUCGGAAUGCCUAUACACAACGUUCUUCAGGCGUUGGAAUGUUAUGACGUUUGUCACCCCAAACGGUGGACUGCAGCUAACAGUCAGGGCGCGGGUUGUCAAGCCCGUAUAGAUCUAUACACAAACACCAUGCUCCCCCUCCAAGGGAUUCUGGUAUAUAAUACAGGACUUGAAAUGUGUACUCGAACGUACAUGAAGUUAGUGUCUCACAAAACCGUGGUAUAAAAACAGAUCUACUUGUUAAAAUGUUACGUUUGUUCUUGUAUACGAAAGUAAACUUCUUGAAAUAUGUGUUUCUAGUACAUAAGAGUUAGAAAUCUGUUCGUAAAACUAUACCUAUUAUAGUUUCCAAAAAGCGUGUCUUGUUUGUUUAGAAAUAUUGAGAAAAGGAAUCACUUGUUUAUGAAAGUAUAGAUUUUUGGUGUAGAGUCUAGGAUAGACAAGAAAAAUCUAAGAACAGUUUAGUUUAUACAUGCAUUACAACAACAUUAUAUUUUAAAAGGUAAAAUGCUAUUGUGACAUAUGUUAUAUAUAUAUAAAAGUUCCUUUAAAUGUUUAUAAAUCGCAUGUGAUUUGAAUAUAUAACAGUAUAUAAAAGAGUUUCUUUAUGUAACACACGAUAAUACUCGUGUGUUUUACUUGUAAUCCCCCCCUUGAAAGCAUAUAAAAGUAUUUAGAAUAAUUAAAAAGGUUGAUUAAGGGGUAUGAAACUCACUUGAAAGUUUUGGAGAUAGCGAGAUGGAAAACCGGGCAGAGUUUCGUCUCGGGAAACGGAUUUUCCUCGGGAUUCUCGGGAAUCUCGGGAGUAAAAUCGACCUUCGGGACUUGAGCCAAAAAGACCAGAGCUUCGGGUUUGAACGGACACGGAAAACGAGGCAAAGUUGAGAGAGAGAGAAGAGAAAUGAACCCUUUCUUUGGAAACCCUCGCAUCCUAUUUAUAGUAAGGCUGGUCUGCCUCGGUACGCGGGGCGUACGCUCGUACGCAGCGCGUACGCGUACGUCAUGCAUGACCGAAGCCUCGACUGCCUCGGUUCGGAUGGGACGGGUUGCUGGGUACGCGGGUCGGAUGGGACGCCGGGUCGGAUGGGACGUCGGGUCGGACGGGUCGGGGCUUCGGACGGGUCGGAUGGGUCGGUUUCUUCGGAUAGCGCGACGUGGACGAUCAGAGGCCAAUCCUCUCGGUUACGCGGGGCGUACAGGGGUACGCAGCGCGUACCUCGGAGGAGGAUGCUGACUCCCCUUCGGAUAAUAUCCGAAUUUUGAAUUAAAUAAAUAAUUAAUUUAUUUAAUAAACUUCAAAAAUUCAUAUCUUCUUCAUACGAACUCCGUUUUCGAUGGUCUUUAUAUCCUCGCGUAGGUGAGACUACGCUCUACAACUUUCGUUUAGACUCCGUCGGCAAAUUCCAAAAUUAUAUUUUUAUUAUUUAUUAAAAACCCAUCGUGUUUAAGGAAUUUCUUUGAAAAUUCAUAACUUCUUUAUCUGAUGUCGGUUUUUGCCAGACUUUUUACCGCUGGAAUACCAUUGUCGAGACCUUCGAUUCUCGUUUAGGUCAUUCCGGCCAAAAGUCGCUCGAUCUCCGAUUCGAGUUUUUAGCUGUCUGUUGCUAAGCCGAACUUGGAAAAAUCAUAACUUCGCUAUAUGAAGUCGGAUUUGGGCGUUCUUUUCACGUACGAUCAUGGUUCAAAGACAUUUAAUCAUAGAAGGAAAUUAAGUAGAACUUAUUUAUACAUUUUAUUAUGAAAGUAACUUUUUAUUAUUCAGAAGUGGUUACAAUACUUGACCCAUUUUGGUCGUUACAAAGAGUUGAAAUAUCGGGUUGUCACAUCAUCCCCCCGUUAGAGAGAAUUUCGUCCCGAAAUUUAAAGUAGUAAAGAUACUAGUGAACAUGAAAGAGAUGAGGGUACUUUUGUUUCAUCUGAUCUUCGCGUUCCCAUGUGAAUUCGGGUCCCCGCUUGGCGUUCCAGCGAACCUUCACGAUGGGUAUGCGACUUUGUUUUGUUUGUUUGACCUCUCGGUCCAUGAUUUCUACUGGUUCUUCCACAAAGUUGAGGCUCUCGUUGAUCUCGAUCUCGUCGAGUGGAAUAACAAGAGUCUCGUCGGACAGACACUUUUUCAAGUUUGAGACGUGGAAGGUUGGAUGGAUGUUACUAAGUUCGCGCGGUAGGUUAAGCUUGUAAGCCACAGGGCCGAUUCUGGCAAGAAUCUCGAAAGGCCCUAUGUAUCUUGGAUUUAGUUUCCCACGCUUUCCAAAUCGUAUUAAACCCUUCCACGGUGAGACCUUUAAUAAGACGUGGUCUCCUACCUGGAAUUCCAAAGGUUUCCUCCUUUGGUCAGCGUAGCUUUUCUGUCGGUCUCUUGAGGCUUUCAAUCGUUCACGAAUCUGAACGAUCUUCUCUGUUGUUUCACGUAUGAUCUCCGGACCGGUGAGAGUGCUUUCAGGAACUCUUCCUCUAGCUAACUGGGUAUCGCCAACUUCAGUCCAGCACAGAGGGGAUCUGCACUUUCGACCAUAGAGGGCUUCAAACGGAGCAGCCUUUAUGCUUGUAUGAUAACUAUUGUUGUAUGAAAAUUCGACAAGGGGUAAAUGAAUAUCCCAUGCCUUUCCAAAGUCAAUCACGCAGGCUCUCAGCAUGUCUUCUAAAGUUUGUAUUGUUCUCUCACUUUGUCCGUCUGUCUGUGGGUGGUAGGCUGUACUCAUGUCUAGCCUAGUUCCCAGGGAACUUUGUAGUGACUGCCAGAAUCUUGAAGUGAAUCUACUAUCUCGAUCGGAGAUAAUGGAUAUCGGAACACCAUGCAGUCGCACUACUUCCCUUAAGUAAGUUCUUGUAAGCUUCUCCAUUUUGUCAGUCUCCUUGAUGGGUAGGAAAUGUGCGGAUUUGGUCAAUCUGUCGACAAUGACCCAUAUGGUAUCGAGUCCACUUGUCGUCUUGGGUAACUUGGUUAUGAAGUCCAUAGUAAUCCGCUCCCAUUUCCAUUCCGGUAUCUCUGGUUGUUGUAGUAGUCCUGACGGUUUCUGAUACUCGACCUUAACCUUAGCGCAAGUAAGACAUUUACUCACGAAGGUAGCAAUUUCUGCUUUCAUGUUAGGCCACCAGUACAGUUUCUUAAGAUCCAGAUACAUUUUAUCUGAACCCGGGUGAACGGAAUAUCUUGAGUUGUGAGCCUCGGUCAUGACUACGUUUCUGAAACCACCAUGAUUUGGGGUCCAGAUUCGGUCCAUGAGAUAGUAGGCUCCGCCACCCUUGACUUCUAAAUUCUUCUCCAUUCCUCGCAGGGAUUCACCCGCCACAUUUUCAGGUUGCAAAGCUUCCAUUUGUGCUUCCUUAAUUUGUGUGGAUAAGUGGGAAUGGAUAGUCAUGGUCAGAGAUUUGACCCUCCGACCAGUGUAUUCCUUUCGACUGAGGGCGUCGGCUACUACGUUGGCCUUGCCAGGAUGAUAACGAAUUUCGCAUUCGUAGUCAUUCAGUAACUCAACCCAUCGUCGUUGUCGCAUGUUGAGUUCCUUCUGAUCGAAAAUGUGUUGAAGGCUCUUGUGAUCGGUGAAUAUAGUACUCUUUGUUCCGUAUAAGUAGUGCCUCCAGAUCUUCAGAGCAAAUACCACUGCUCCUAACUCGAGGUCGUGUGUCGUAUAGUUCACUUCGUGUGUCUUAAGCUGUCGGGAGGCAUAAGCGAUAACCUUCCCUCUCUGCAUAAGAACACAACCAAGUCCUUGAUUUGAAGCAUCGCAAUACACUACGAAGUCUUCUAUCCCUUCGGGGAGGGAUAGUAUCGGUGCGGUGCACAAGGCCUGCUUUAGUGUCUGGAAUGCCUUCUCUUGUUUCGCUUCCCAGUCAAAGGCCACACCUUUCUGGGUUAAUGAAGUAAGAGGUUUCGCAAUGCUCGAAAAGUUCUUUAUGAAUCUGCGAUAGUAGCCAGCUAGACCUAGAAAUUGACGAAUUUCUGUAGGUGUCUUUGGUGCCGACCAGUUCUCAAUAGCCUUAAUUUUGGAGGGGUCCACGUGUAUACCUUUCUCGCUAACAACGUGACCUAAAAAUUCGACUCUUCGAAUCCAAAAUUCGCAUUUAGAGAACUUCGCAUAGAGUUUCUCCGUUCGCAGUGUUUCUAGGACUUUUCGUAGGUGUUGACUAUGCUCUUCCUCACUUCGAGAGUAGAUAAGUAUAUCAUCGAUAAAGACGAUGACGAACUGAUCCAAGUAAGGGCGGCAUACCCUAUUCAUUAGGUCCAUAAAUACUGCUGGUGCAUUGGUUAAUCCGAACGGCAUCACCACGAAUUCGUAGUGUCCAUAACGAGUUCGGAAGGCUGUCUUUGGAAUGUCCCCCUCUAGAACUCGUAAUUGGUGAUAUCCGGAUCGCAGGUCUAUUUUGGAGAAGUAGUUCGCCCCUUGAAGUUGAUCGAAUAGGUCGUCGAUACGGGGUAGAGGAUAGCGGUUCUUGACAGUAAGUUUGUUCAGCUCUCUGUAGUCGAUGCACAUACGGAACGAUCCGUCUUUCUUCUUUACAAACAAGACCGGUGCUCCCCAAGGUGAGAAACUUGGUCUUAUGAAUCCUUUGUGAAGGAGUUCAUUAAGUUGACUGGAAAGUUCCUGCAUCUCUGCUGGUGCAAGACGAUAAGGCGACUUCGCUACUGGGGUAGCUCCUGGAAUUAAGUCGAUUCUGAACUCGACUUGGCGUUGCGGUGGUAAUCCUGGUAGUUCUUCUGGAAAGAUAUCGGGAAAGUCGCGUACUACCGAGAUGCUCUUGAUGUCCUUCAGUUCUUGACUUGUAUCGACGAUGUGCGCUAGGAAUGCUCGACAAUCCUUCCGCAAGCACUUUCGAGCUUGGAUGCACGAAAUGAUGCGAAGGUUUGCACUAGAUUUGUCGCCGUAGAUAACUAAUGUUUCGUUGUUAGGGAGGUUAAGACGGACUGCUUUCUCAAAGCACAUGAUGUCGGCGCGAAGAAGACUCAACCAAUCCAUGCCGACUAUGACGUCGAAACUUUUAAUUUGAACCGGCAUGAGAUUGAUUGGGAAAGAAUGGCCGUCUAAUGUUAACGUACAGCCCAUGUAUAUGCAAUUUGUGUUUUCGGUUUUUCCAUUGGCCAUCUCUACAGUGAAUGAUUUUUCUAACUUGCUAGGUUUAGGUUUAAGUAAAUGAAUAAAGUUUUGACUCACGAAGCUUCUCUCCGCUCCACUAUCGAAUAAUAUGCAUGCGUAUGAAUUAUCGAGAAGGAACGUACCAGCAACUAUAGUUGGGUCAGCUACAGCUUCGUCGUGGCCUAUUGCCAAAACUCGUCCCACACCUCCGGUGCCUGCUGCCUUAGGACAGUUUCUCUUGUAGUGGCCCACCUCGCCACAACCGUAGCAAGCCUGCCCUACACCCGCACCGGGAACUUGAGUGAUCGGCUUUGCGGGUUCCUUGCAGAAACGGGCUGUGUGUCCUUUCCUGCUGCAGUUGGCGCACUGCAUAUCUCGACAAGGUCCAUGGUGGUGGUAAUUGCAUUUGGUGCAUUUUGGGAGGUUACCUAUAUAAGGCUUUGUUGGGUAGGUAUUUGUAGGGGCUGUAGCAGGUACAAUGGCAGCAUUUACUGACACCAGUUGUUUCUUUGCGGAUUCUUGGGAAGACCCACCCUUCCCUUUAAUCCACGCUCUCUUCCUGCCAUUGUUGUUGUUGUUGUUGUUGUUGUUGUUGUUGUUGUUUCCUUUCUGUGGUGCUGGUGCAGAAGUGGUUGAGUUCUGAUGACCUCCGUAGUCGAUCAGAGAUUGUGCCAGUUCCUUAGCACUUUCAAAGGUGUCAGGUUUAGAAGCUAACACGCUUGAUCGCAUUUGGGGCGUCAGUCCCCAGAUGUACCUUUCUAUCUUCUUGCUCUCGGGAGCAAUCAUAUCUGGACAAAGGAUUGCCAGUUCGCAGAAUCUGUUGGUAUAAGUAGCGAUGUCGGUACCCACCAUUCCGAGAGUCCAUAGCUCGUGUUCAAGCUUUUGAAUUUCUCCCCGUGGGCAGUAUUCUCUCAUCAUCAUGGCCUUCAAGCUCUCCCAGCUUAUGGAGUUUGCCACGAUUAGGGUAAGUACUUUAACGUGGCCAUUCCACCAAGUUAAAGCUUUAUCGAGAAGGGUGAAAGUUGCAAAUUUGACCUUGCUGUGCUCGGGGCAGGAGCAGAUUUCAAAGACUGCCUCCGUCCUUUCAAUCCACUGCCUCAGGGCCAUCACACCACCAGUACCAUAAAACAUCCGGGGCUUGGCAUUAGUGAAGUCCUUAUAGGUGCAUUCUCGAGGUGGUCCAUGACUCUCGCCAUGGUUGGAUAGGUGUGUGCCAGAUCCCGAGCCAUUAGUACUCGAGUUAUUGAUCUGUGACAUGGCAGCUGCCACCGCUGCGGUGACUGCUGCUUGAAACAUUACAGCAUCAAAUUGGGGUGGUGGAGGUGGUGGUGGUAUAGGUGCUUCCUCACCGUUGUUUCGCCUUGGAUUCCUACGCGGAGGCAUCCUUCAACUAUAGAUUGAAAAGACAAGGAUAAGAAUUUCAUAGAAUGGAAAAUGUAUGUGUCUCAUGAACUAAAUCGCUAUAGUUCAACAACAGAUGAUAGUAUGAGUCUUAAAAUAGAAGAAUGAAAGUUAUUUGUAAGACUGAAGGUAUGAAACAAGUAUUUGGGUUCACAAAGACCAUUCAAGGUUCGAACGAAAUACUCAACAUAGUAGUAAUAGUGCCACUUAUAUUAAUAUAAAAGUUGUUACAACGAUCAUGAAAAUUUGACCCCUAUAAGGGUCUCCGAUUACAAAGUUCGAGAAAUUUAAAGACUUUUAGCCGAGGUCCUAAGCUAUAACAAAAUUUGAGUCCUUGACAAGCACUACUUGCGUCGAAGGUUGCGCUUGGAGCUUGACUCCGUAUCUGAUUGCUUUGACUCCAUUAGACGCCUAUCGAAAGCGGCUUGUUGUUCCCUUAGUUCGGCGAGGGCUGCAAUCAUUUGCGCUUGAAACGCUUCGGUUUGGAAUUGAGCGUUGUCUUGCAUCUUGUCCAGCCUACGGAUGUCAGAAGUGUGAACCUGCACUUCCACGUUGAUAUCCCGGAGUCGACUAGCUUGUACUCCAGACUGAUAGGACUGAUUGGCUAACUUACCCACCAUUACCGGGAGUGCUCGAUCAGCCGAACCUCCGCCGCGGACAUCAUAGAAGUCCCGGCACAUGCCGUAGGGAGGGCGUAGGUUUUGCUGUUGGCUCCAAUGGUGGAGGUGACUUCCCCAGACGGGAGUCGGUCCUUGAAAGUUCCUUACGAAGACGGGAGGUUGAAUGGGUGGUGGAUCGAUAACUUCCGGCUCUGAGUCGGUACCGGAGUCAUCACCCACUUCUAUGGGUUCCUCGUCCUCUUCGGGAUCAUCUUCGAUCCAUCCUCCGUUGCCUUGGUUGGGAAAGUAGGGGUCGCCAGGGUGGUGAAAUCCAGCCAUUUGACUGUACGAGAAAUAGGGUUAUAAGAAUUGAAUAAAGUCGGAACAUGUAAAACAUGUAAGUUAAACUAGUUUAGAUAGCAAAUACUCCUAUAGUAUUUAAAUUCUUGUGUUUGAUUCUUGUAAUGGUUUGGUAAGUUUUGACUUGUUGCUUACUACGAUCAUUCCUCGAUAUACGUUGGUCCAAUCUUGGGCAAAUAUAGUUGAUCACGCUAUAUUUGUCCAAAAUCUGAUUACAUAUAUCGAGUCUCAAUCGUAGUGUCAACUUGUCUAAAUACUUGUAUAGUUGUAUAACAUGAAAAUAGUUUGUGGUAUGCAUGUAAUUGUACUUAAAUGAACUAUCAAUUUAAGUUGAACGAAAUGCUGCUUAAGUGUAAAAAGAAAAUUUGUUUUGUCAGAGAGUAUUAGUCCCUUAAGCAUUUAUAGUUUGUAUAUCUUAUGUGGUUCGAUAUACUUAGUUCACUAUAAACAUUGCUCUGAUACCAAUCUGUCACACCCCCAAACCUGAACGGCGGAAACGUUCGGGGGCGGAUGACUUCAUGUGGUAACGUAACAAAUGAAUACAUAGUAAAGAAAGCAAUACAACCAUCAUAUAUAUAAUUGAAAGUUUACAUUUGUCAAAAGUUACAUGUUCAAAACCAAUUACAAUAUGAUGUCAAAAUACGAGAUUAAACUGGCGCCGCAGCAUCCCUUCAUCAAAAGCGAAAUGAAUACCUGAAAUUACUGAUUUCCUGGGACAUACAAGUAAUUUUGAAAGAGUAGAUCAGCAUUUAAGCUGGUGAAUUUCAUAAGUAUUUAAGUGACAAUGUUUGAAUGAAAUGAAAUGUUUUAUCUUUGUUUGUUUGUGUUUAGAAAAUCCUAUAUUUUCUACUAGUAUAAAAGUAGCCUUCACUCAAGACCAAUGUUUGUUUCCAAAAUGUAUGUAAGUGUAAAAUAACCAAUGAGUUUGAAAACCUUGUAAAUCAAUGCAUUUUUAAUACCCCUUGUGAGUUUUAUAACCAUACUAUUGACUCGGAAUGCCUAUACACAACGUUCUUCAGGCGUUGGAAUGUUAUGACGUUUGUCACCCCAAACGGUGGACUGCAGCUAACAGUCAGGGCGCGGGUUGUCAAGCCCGUAUAGAUCUAUACACAAACACCAUGCUCCCCCUCCAAGGGAUUCUGGUAUAUAAUACAGGACUUGAAAUGUGUACUCGAACGUACAUGAAGUUAGUGUCUCACAAAACCGUGGUAUAAAAACAGAUCUACUUGUUAAAAUGUUACGUUUGUUCUUGUAUACGAAAGUAAACUUCUUGAAAUUCAUGUUUCUAGUACAUAAGAGUUAGAAAUUUGUUCGUAAAACUAUACCUAUUAUAGUUUUCUAAAAGUGUGUCUUGUUUGUUUAGAAAUACCUAGAAAAGGAAUCAUUUGUUUAUGAAAGCAUAGAUUUUUGGUGUAGAGUCUAAGAUAGACAAGUAUAAUCUAAGAAAAGUUUAGUUUAUACAUGCAUUACAACAAAUUUAUAUUUCAAAAGAUAGAAUGCUAUUUUAACAUAUGUUAUAUAUAUGAAAGUUCCUUAAAAGUUUGUAAAUCGCAUGUGAUUUGGAUAUAUAACAGCAUAUAAAAGAGUUCUUUAUGUAACACACGAUAAUACUCGUGUGUUUUACUUGUAAUCCCCCCCUUGAAAGCAUAUAAAAGAAUUUAUAGAAUAUUUAAAAGGUAAAUUAAGGGGUAUGAACUCACUUGAAAGUUUGAAGAUAGCGAGAUGGAAAACCGGGCAGAGUUUCGUCUCGGGAAACGGAUUUUCCUCGGGAUUCUCGGGAAUCUCGGGAGUAAAAUCGACCCUCGGGACUUGAGCAAAAAGACCAGAGCUUCGGGUUUGAACGGGCACGGAAAACGAGGCAAGAUUGUGAGAGAGAGGAGAGAAAUGAGCCCUUUUCUCGGAAGCCCUCGCAUCCUAUUUAUAGGAAGGCUGAACUGCCUCGGUACGCGGGGCGUACGCUCGUACGCAGCGCGUACGCGUACGUCAUGCAUGACCGAAGCCUCGACUGCCUCGGCUUCGGAUGGGACGGGUCAGUGGGGAGGCGGGUCGGAGGGGACGGCGGGUCGGAUGGGACAGCGGGUCGGACGGGUCGGUCGGACGGACGGGUCGGACGGGUCGGAAGCCUCGGAUAGGGCGACGUGGACGAUCAGAGGCCAAGUCUCUCGGGUACGCAGGGCGUACAGGGGUACGCAGCGCGUACCUCAGAUGAGGACGCUGACUCCUCUUCGGAUAAGGUCCGAAUUUUGAAUUAAAUAAAUAUAUGAUUUAUUUAAUACACUUCAAAAAUUUAUAUCUUCUUUAUACGAACUCCGUUUUCGAUGGUCUUUAUAUCCACGCGUAGGUGAGACUACGCUCUACAACUUUCGUUUAGACUCCGUCGGCAAAUUCCGAAAUUAUUUUUUUAUUAUUUAUAUUAAACUCAUCGUGUUUAAGGAAUUUCUUUG
Molecule: long non-coding RNA, 16338 nt
Filed under: Lactuca sativa (garden lettuce)
Lineage: Eukaryota; Viridiplantae; Streptophyta; Magnoliopsida; Asterales; Asteraceae
Description: long non-coding RNA (LSAT_LNC004410)
Source: RNAcentral